Molecule: transfer RNA, 77 nt
Filed under: Alphaproteobacteria bacterium
Lineage: Bacteria; Pseudomonadati; Pseudomonadota; Alphaproteobacteria
Also listed under: 2 other names
Description: tRNA-Arg
Rfam family: tRNA
About the family: Transfer RNA (tRNA) molecules are approximately 80 nucleotides in length. Their secondary structure includes four short double-helical elements and three loops (D, anti-codon, and T loops). Further hydrogen bonds mediate the characteristic L-shaped molecular structure. tRNAs have two regions of fundamental functional importance: the anti-codon, which is responsible for specific mRNA codon recognition, and the 3' end, to which the tRNAs corresponding amino acid is attached (by aminoacyl-tRNA synthetases). tRNAs cope with the degeneracy of the genetic code in two manners: having more than one tRNA (with a specific anti-codon) for a particular amino acid; and 'wobble' base-pairing, i.e. permitting non-standard base-pairing at the 3rd anti-codon position.
Source: RNAcentral
GCGCCCUUAGCUCAGCUGGAUAGAGCAACAGCCUUCUAAGCUGUGGGUCAGAGGUUCGAGUCCUCUAGGGCGCACCA